This 253-nucleotide ribosomal RNA is filed under the name uncultured bacterium. RNAcentral's name for it is "partial 16S ribosomal RNA". It matches the Rfam family "Bacterial small subunit ribosomal RNA", at positions 524 to 776 of the family's 1533-position model. The record is from RNAcentral.
UACAGAGGUCUCAAGCGUUGUCCGGAAUCAUUGGGCGUAAAGCGCGCGUAGGUGGCCACAUAAGUCCGUUGUGAAAGUCAAAGGCUCAACCUUUGAAAGCCGAUGGAUACUGUGUGGCUAGAGUACGGAAGAGGCGAGUGGAAUUCCUGGUGUAGCGGUGGAAUGCGCAGAUAUCAGGAGGAACACCAAUAGCGAAGGCAGCUCGCUGGGACGUUACUGACACUGAGGCGCGAAAGCGUGGGGAGCGAACAGG